CAAGAUAAGCCAUGCAUGUCUAAGUAUAAGCAAUUAUACCGUGAAACUGCGAAUGGCUCAUUAAAUCAGUUAUCGUUUAUUUGAUAAUACCUUACUACUUGGAUAACCGUGGUAAUUCUAGAGCUAAUACAUGCUGAAAAUCCCGACUUCGGAAGGGAUGUGUUUAUUAGAUAAAAAACCAAUGCCCUUCGGGGCUUUUUGGUGAUUCAUGAUAACUUUACGGAUCGCAUAGCCUUGCGCUGGCGACGGUUCAUUCAAAUUUCUGCCCUAUCAACUUUCGAUGGUAAGGUAUUGGCUUACCAUGGUUUCAACGGGUAACGGGGAAUUAGGGUUCGAUUCCGGAGAGGGAGCCUGAGAAACGGCUACCACAUCCAAGGAAGGCAGCAGGCGCGCAAAUUACCCAAUCCCGACACGGGGAGGUAGUGACAAUAAAUACUGAUACAGGGCUCUUUUGGGUCUUGUAAUUGGAAUGAGUACAAUUUAAACCUCUUAACGAGGAACAAUUGGAGGGCAAGUCUGGUGCCAGCAGCCGCGGUAAUUCCAGCUCCAAUAGCGUAUAUUAAAGUUGUUGCAGUUAAAAAGCUCGUAGUUGAAACUUGGGCCUGGCUGGCGGGUCCGCCUCACCGCGUGCACUCGUCCGGCCGGGCCUUCCUUCUGAAGAACCUCAUGCCCUUCACUGGGCGUGCUGGGGAAUCAGGACUUUUACUUUGAAAAAAUUAGAGUGUUCAAAGCAGGCCUUUGCUCGAAUACGUUAGCAUGGAAUAAUAAAAUAGGGCGUGCGUUUCUAUUUUGUUGGUUUCUAGAGACGCCGCAAUGAUUAACAGGAACAGUCGGGGGCAUCAGUAUUCAGUUGUCAGAGGUGAAAUUCUUGGAUUUACUGAAGACUAACUACUGCGAAAGCAUUUGCCAAGGAUGUUUUCAUUAAUCAGUGAACGAAAGUUAGGGGAUCGAAGACGAUCAGAUACCGUCGUAGUCUUAACCGUAAACUAUGCCGACUAGGGAUCGGGCGAUGUUCUUUUUCUGACUCGCUCGGCACCUUACGAGAAAUCAAAGUUUUUGGGUUCUGGGGGGAUUAUGGUCGCAGGUGAAUAG
RNAcentral lists this ribosomal RNA (1092 nucleotides) under Alternaria sp. RNAcentral's name for it is "SSU rRNA". It matches the Rfam family "Eukaryotic small subunit ribosomal RNA", at positions 39 to 1143 of the family's 1831-position model. The record is from RNAcentral. Lineage: Eukaryota; Fungi; Ascomycota; Dothideomycetes; Pleosporales; Pleosporaceae.